RNAcentral lists this transfer RNA (72 nucleotides) under Bos taurus (domestic cattle). It matches the Rfam family "tRNA". Rfam says of the family: Transfer RNA (tRNA) molecules are approximately 80 nucleotides in length. Their secondary structure includes four short double-helical elements and three loops (D, anti-codon, and T loops). Lineage: Eukaryota; Metazoa; Chordata; Mammalia; Artiodactyla; Bovidae. RNAcentral also lists the same sequence under 5 other names. The record is from Rfam by way of RNAcentral.
UCCCUGAUGGCUCAGCUGGUAAAGAAUCUGCUUGCAAUGCAGGAGACCUGGGUUCAAUCCCUGGGUUGGGAA